AGUGGACACAUUACUUCUAACCAUUGAUCCUGUGGCUAUUUCAUAAACAUUUCUUAUCUGUGGUUACUGACGAGCACUCCAGAGAGAGUUCAAGACAGGGUCUGGCUAAGCUGCCCAGGUUGGCCUGAACUUGCCGUCCUCCUGCCUCGCUUCCUGAGUAGCCAGGAUUCCAGGUGUGUCCCACCACGCUGGAACGGCAGGGGAACAACAGGUCUCGG
Long non-coding RNA from Sciurus carolinensis (gray squirrel), 218 nucleotides. RefSeq lists it as uncharacterized. The transcript is spliced from 3 exons. NCBI's taxonomy places the organism in Eukaryota, Metazoa, Chordata, Mammalia, Rodentia, Sciuridae. The record is from RefSeq and is a predicted model, not a curated record.